This is a long non-coding RNA of Camponotus floridanus (Florida carpenter ant), 538 nucleotides long. RefSeq lists it as uncharacterized. The record is from RefSeq and is a predicted model, not a curated record. NCBI's taxonomy places the organism in Eukaryota, Metazoa, Arthropoda, Insecta, Hymenoptera, Formicidae. The transcript has 3 exons.
CGGGCGGCGCGCGUGCGCCUCUUGCUAGCGCGUUCCCUCGGCCGCGUCAACUUGUCCUCUCUCUGUCGGCACGUCGGCUCCCGGGUGUCGCAACGUGCGAGUUUUACGGUCUCCAAUGGUAGCGGUCCCGAUUUCUCAUUGGGCAGAUUCGGGGGUAGAUUCGGGGUGCGUCUCCCCCGGAUCCUGCGCUUGCUCACGCAUAAUGCGGGAUUCCAGCGAUGGACGACGCACGGCUUUGAGACCUCUCGAAAAUCGUGCAAUGAUACUGGUUCGAGGGUCGAAAGAGGAAGUAACAUUUCGCAAGGAGGGAAAGCCGGAAGUUGAGUUGCGCGAUCAGGAAGUUGGAUUCUUACCAGUUUCACGGAGGCGCAAUGUCAAGUCUUGAUUAAAAGGUCAAGUGUUGAACAGAAAUCUCGUUUGUAAGAUCUAAUCGACCAUCCACGACAGGCAGAAAAUCUGACUCUUAUCUAAUUAAGGAGUAUCAUGAUGUGCGCCGUAACAUAUGGGUUCAUGAGGGUGAACUGUCAAAUCUCUCAUC